Molecule: ribosomal RNA, 253 nt
Filed under: uncultured bacterium
Lineage: Bacteria
Description: partial 16S ribosomal RNA
Rfam family: Bacterial small subunit ribosomal RNA
Source: RNAcentral
UACGUAGGGACCAAGCGUUGUUCGGAUUUACUGGGCGUAAAGGGCGCGUAGGCGGCAAUUCAAGUCAGCUGUGAAAUCUCCGGGCUUAACUCGGAACGGUCAGCUGAUACUGUUUUGCUAGAGUGCAGAAGGGGCAAUCGGAAUUCUCGGUGUAGCGGUGAAAUGCGUAGAUAUCGAGAGGAACACCUGAGGUGAAGACGGGUUGCUGGGCUGACACUGACGCUGAUGCGCGAAAGCGUGGGGAGCGAACAGG